GUGGGGAAUUUUGGACAAUGGGCGAAAGCCUGAUCCAGCAAUGCCGCGUGUGUGAAGAAGGCCUUCGGGUUGUAAAGCACUUUUGUCCGGAAAGAAAUCCUUGGCUCUAAUACAGUCGGGGGAUGACGGUACCGGAAGAAUAAGCACCGGCUAACUACGUGCCAGCAGCCGCGGUAAUACGUAGGGUGCGAGCGUUAAUCGGAAUUACUGGGCGUAAAGCGUGCGCAGGCGGUUUGCUAAGACCGAUGUGAAAUCCCCGGGCUCAACCUGGGAACUGCAUUGGUGACUGGCAGGCUAGAGUAUGGCAGAGGGGGGUAGAAUUCCACGUGUAGCAGUGAAAUGCGUAGAGAUGUGGAGGAAUACCGAUGGCGAAGGCAGCCCCCUGGGCCAAUACUGACGCUCAUGCACGAAAGCGUGGGGAGCAA
RNAcentral lists this ribosomal RNA (425 nucleotides) under uncultured Burkholderia sp. Its description in RNAcentral is "bacterial SSU rRNA". It matches the Rfam family "Bacterial small subunit ribosomal RNA", at positions 354 to 771 of the family's 1533-position model. The record is from RNAcentral. Lineage: Bacteria; Pseudomonadati; Pseudomonadota; Betaproteobacteria; Burkholderiales; Burkholderiaceae.